Molecule: ribosomal RNA, 253 nt
Filed under: uncultured bacterium
Lineage: Bacteria
Description: partial 16S ribosomal RNA
Rfam family: Bacterial small subunit ribosomal RNA
Source: RNAcentral
UACGUAGGGGGCAAGCGUUGUCCGGAUUUAUUGGGCGUAAAGAGCGUGUAGGCGGCCUGACAGGUCUGCUGUGAAAACUCGAGGCUCAACCUCGAGACGUCGGUUGAAACCGUAUGGCUAGAGUCCGGAAGAGGAGAGUGGAAUUCCCGGUGUAGCGGUGAAAUGCGCAGAUAUCGGGAAGAACACCCGUGGCGAAGGCGGCUCUCUGGGACGGUACUGACGCUGAGACGCGAAAGCGUGGGGAGCGAACAGG